Molecule: long non-coding RNA, 2027 nt
Organism: Sciurus carolinensis (gray squirrel)
Lineage: Eukaryota; Metazoa; Chordata; Mammalia; Rodentia; Sciuridae
Exons: 2
Source: RefSeq, a predicted model, not a curated record
UAUGUGAGGGUGGCUGCCCCUUCCUGCUGGCCCUACUGUGUUUUUCAUAUUGUAUGUGUAUGAAAUGAAAUUGCUACAGCACUUUCAAAUGUCCCUGCCUAUCUUGGUUUCCCCAACUAAGUCACAAGCUAGGUGGCCAAAGCUGCUCACCUGUCCGAUAGGUUUAAUGCCAGUUAUCUAACUGAAGUUAAAUGUUUUCGAGAUGACCUAGGGUCCACUUCCUUCUCUUUGCACUUGUAAUCUAUUUCUCAGAAUUGUGUUCAGUGUUAUAAACCUUUCACUUUUGGAGUUUCCAACAUAGAUUAUUUCAAGUAUAUUCUAAAAACCUUGUCAAGAAGGUGUUCCAGGGUCCUGCUUUAAUGCAAUUAGCAUAUUAGUUUAUUUGUGAAUAAACACUGGUUUGUUAACUAUUCCCCCUAGAAAUCUUAGGUAAACUAGUAAUUUCUUAAGCAAACCCACUCUUCAUUGUGCUAAAACUAGCCAGUCCAGCCCGUAUGUCAGUUUGUCCAGAAUCUGACUGAGGUCAGAAACAGGUCUUGAGGGCAAAAGGAGUGUGAACUUGAAAAUACUGCUUGAUAAUUUCAUUAAUACAAAUCACAGUAGCAUUGAAAGCAGCUCUGACAAGUGGACCUUGUUCAGUUCAGGCAGCUAAAGGAGAAGGUAUCUAGUACUCUGCCUGGAACUGAAAGUUCAUCCCAGAAAAAAAAUAGGCUUUGGAGCACAGAGGUAUUUUCUUUGAGGAAAAAGAACCGAACUGUCAGCACUGGGUACAACUGCCAAAAAGAAAAACAUAAAACUGUGCCCAAGCACUAGCUACAAGGCCACACCAAAUAAGAAAAGCUGGCUCCUGUAAGUUUCAGGACAGGAGCUAUUCCUCAUUCAAGUUUUCCCCAGCACCUAGCACAUAGUAAGGUGCUCAGUUUGUGGGUGUUGAAUAAAUGUGUGAAUGCUCAAGAUGACUUCCUGGUAAUUGGGUUCAGGAAUCUACUGGGAGGAGCUUCAACCUGUUCCUGUAAGUUCCCUUUUAGAAAGUCUCAGAAGUGGUUGCUUGUCUUCCAAGAAGACAAUGUGGGGAGGAAGCCUGAAGAGAGGACAGGCUGGCAGAUGGGAGCAGAGUGCAUGCUAGCUCAAAACCCUGAAAUCCUUCCAAGAGCAGUGACUAGGUGACUCCACUAGACAGCCACCACCUGCAGCAGAGUUCAAAGCUAGAAGAGGAUAUAUGAAAGUGUUCUGAGGGUAUGGAGCUGCCUGGGCCAAGUACAGUCACAUGCCAGCCUCUACUCUUCCUUUGGGAACAGCACCUCACUUUCCACCGCAGCAGAGCACCCCAGCAUUGCUUGCCUGAGGAACAGACUGUUCUACAGGGGCCCUGGCUUCAUGGCCCACCCAGAAGCACCCAGCUGCCAACUUGGGGACCAGUGAGCGCCUACAGCCUUAGCUGAGCCACAUGGACACAUCUUCCAGUGAGGCUUGGACACCAGCACCUCAUGCUCUUGUUCAUGGGUCCCUCACAUCAGCCACUGCUCCUUCUCCUUGAUGAAGUGCUCUGCCCAGCGGCGGGUCAGCUCCAGAUCAUCUUCAACUGAGAAACAAUUCAUGAAAACCUGCCAGGUUCAUUUCCUGCAAAACCAAUCCCUGAGCUUCGGAGCUGUCCAUGCCUGCAGUGCUGAAUCGCUCUGGCCAGGAGAGCUAUAGAGCACCAGGCAGGUCAGACGACUUUUGGUUCCAUCCGCAAAUAGCAAAACAAAGUGGAGAGGGUGGCAAUGCCACACCCACCCAGAAGCCCCAGUCCUACCUCCCAAGAAGAGGAUCUCUGAGGUCCCACACGGAGAAGAGCCCUGUGCAAAAAUGCAUCUUGGUGCUUCUUGGGGCAUUUACUGUGACUAUGUCUCUAGACUGUAAACCUGAAGGAUGGCCCCUGUCUUAUUUAUCUUUGUAUUCUUCUCACCCCUCUUUGUCGUUCCCUAUUUCCCCCCUCUUUCACAAACCAUGUCCAGGUAUGAUAUUAAAAUGUACUGUAAAAUGUA